CAGCGACUAGUUUAACAAAACAGCUAGUUUCGGCCUAGUAAAUCUCAGCCCCUGCCGAGGUCGCUUU
RNAcentral lists this transfer RNA (67 nucleotides) under Quedenfeldtia trachyblepharus (Atlas day gecko). Its description in RNAcentral is "tRNA-Arg". The record is from RNAcentral. Lineage: Eukaryota; Metazoa; Chordata; Lepidosauria; Squamata; Sphaerodactylidae.